Molecule: ribosomal RNA, 550 nt
Filed under: uncultured bacterium
Lineage: Bacteria
Description: bacterial SSU rRNA
Rfam family: Bacterial small subunit ribosomal RNA
Source: RNAcentral
AGUAAUGCCUUAUAAGAUACGUUUGUCGCAUGGCAUUUGUAUUAAACGCUCCGGCGCCAUAGGAUGGACCCGCGUCCCAUUAGCUAGUUGGUGAGAUAACAGCUCACCAAGGCCACGAUGGGUGACCGGUCUGAGAGGGCGAACGGUCACACUGGAACUGAGACACGGUCCAGACUCCUACGGGAGGCAGCAGUGGGGAAUAUUGCGCAAUGGGGGCAACCCUGACGCAGCAAUACCGCGUGAGUGAAGAAGGUUUUCGGAUCGUAAAGCUCUGUUAUUGGGGAAGAAAAAAAGACGGUACCCAAGAAGAAAGUUCCGGCUAACUACGUGCCAGCAGCCGCGGUAAUACGUAGGGAACAAGCGUUGUCCGGAUUUACUGGGCGUAAAGGGCACGCAGGCGGUUUUUUAAGUCAGAUGUGAAAGGCCACAGCUCAACUGUGGACAUGCAUUUGAAACUGAAAGACUUGAGUAUUGGAGAGGCAAGUGGAAUUCCUAGUGUAGCGGUGAAAUGCGUAGAUAUUAGGAGGAACACCGGUGGCGAAGGCGGCUU